CGGUGGACCAGUACGGCAACCCCGUCCCGAGGGAGCCAGCGUCUGGUUUGGGCGGCACCGCUCCCGCCUACAGCAGCACCGGCGACAGUAGUGUCGCGCCUGUCGAGUACGGUGCCCGCGCGGAGUACGCCAGCGGUGGCGUCGCAGCAGUCGCACCAGGCGAGACGGCGCUCGCGUACGAGGGGAUGGUCGGUGGCGGACACCUCCAGCCGACCAAGGAGGAGCACACGUUUGGUCCGGGCGCGCAGCUCCAGCC
RNAcentral lists this long non-coding RNA (256 nucleotides) under Sorghum bicolor (sorghum). RNAcentral's name for it is "long non-coding RNA (SBIC_LNC005646)". The record is from RNAcentral. Lineage: Eukaryota; Viridiplantae; Streptophyta; Magnoliopsida; Poales; Poaceae.